Molecule: ribosomal RNA, 338 nt
Filed under: uncultured soil bacterium
Lineage: Bacteria
Description: bacterial SSU rRNA
Rfam family: Bacterial small subunit ribosomal RNA
Source: RNAcentral
AGAUUGAACGCUGGCGGCAGGCCUAACACAUGCAAGUCGAGCGGUAGAGAGGUGCUUGCACCUCUUGAGAGCGGCGGACGGGUGAGUAAUGCCUAGGAAUCUGCCUAGUGGUGGGGGAUAACGUUCGGAAACGGACGCUAAUACCGCAUACGUCCUACGGGAGAAAGCGGGGGACCUUCGGGCCUCGCGCCAUUAGAUGAGCCUAGGUCGGAUUAGCUAGUUGGUGAGGUAAUGGCUCACCAAGGCGACGAUCCGUAACUGGUCUGAGAGGAUGAUCAGCCACACUGGGACUGAGACACGGCCCAGACUCCUACGGGAGCAGCAGUAGGGAAUAUUGG